This 1001-nucleotide long non-coding RNA is filed under the name Anas platyrhynchos platyrhynchos (common mallard). Its description in RNAcentral is "lncRNA (ENSAPLG00000021508.1)". Lineage: Eukaryota; Metazoa; Chordata; Aves; Anseriformes; Anatidae. The record is from RNAcentral.
GGUGCACCGUUAAAAUGUAACAGCCACCGGUUUGCUCGCAGGACGCUGGCUGACCCACGAACCCCCCUUGAAGCCCUCCCACCCCUAAAAAAAACCCCAAAGAUUAAAGGGCAUUUAUUAAGCUCGCAGCUGCUGCCUGACGGCGUUUUCCAGCUCACACCCGGCCUCCUGCCCCAGGAGCCGCCCAACGCCCGGCGGCAGCGAGCCGAGGCAGCCCAGCCGGGGCACGUCCCGGGGAAACUCCGAGCGCUGCUCGCGGCCGGGAGCUUUUUAUUCACCUCUCCCCAGGGCAGGGCAGGGCAGGGCAGGGCAGGGCAGGGCAGGGCAGGUGGUGCAGGCGGGCGACAGCCGGGACGCUCGCUGAGGCGGCGGCGGCGCCGUGAGGGACGCGGUCCGGCCGCAGCCCGCAACGGCCCGGUUCUAACUGCCCGCAGCGCCGGGGAACGGUCCGCGGCCGGGCCCGCGCCGCCUGAGGUGGAAGGGGGGGAUAUAAAGGGGAGAGGCGGGGCGCCGCCGGGUUUGUUUAUUCCGCCCGGCCGGGCGGUACGGGGUCCGGCCGGGAUCAAAAAUCACCGCGGGCCGCCGCCGGAGGGCCGCCGCCCGCCCGCCAGCCCGGCCCGGUCCGCCCGCCCUACGUGCAGCGCGGGAGCGCCGCCAUGUCGCGGGGCGAGGCGGCCGGCGGGGGCGGUUGUGGCGGUGAACAAACAUAAAUGGCUGGGCCAACAUGACCAAAUAAAAAAAGAAGUUGAACCACAACGCCGAGGAAGACUAUGGCCUUCAUCUUCACAACCACCAGGACAGAGACGACCCCCUAGCAACAGUGUGCGCAGUCGCAGAAUAUACCAGGAUGUGCUGCGUAAUCCUGGAAUCACCAAGAUAUAAAAAGGGACCCUGGCGGGAGGUGAUGUGUGCGCCGUUGGCGGAGCCGAGACUCCCCGGCCGCCCAGUGCUGUUUUGCUUGCUGUUGCUUACUUAAUAAAUUCCUUUCUAUUAUUAAUGCA